Molecule: ribosomal RNA, 254 nt
Filed under: uncultured bacterium
Lineage: Bacteria
Description: partial 16S ribosomal RNA
Rfam family: Bacterial small subunit ribosomal RNA
Source: RNAcentral
UACAGAGGUCUCAAGCGUUGUUCGGAUUCAUUGGGCGUAAAGGGUGCGUAGGCGGCGCGGUAAGUCGGGUGUGAAAUCUCGGAGCUUAACUCCGAAACUGCAUUCGAUACUGCCGUGCUUGAGGACUUGGAGAGGAGACUGGAAUUUACGGUGUAGCGGUGAAAUGCGUAGAUAUCGUAAGGAAGACCAGUGGCGAAGGCGGGUCUCUGGACAGUUCCUGACGCUGAGGCACGAAGGUCAGGGGAGCAAACGGG